This 305-nucleotide ribosomal RNA is filed under the name uncultured bacterium. RNAcentral's name for it is "partial 16S ribosomal RNA". It matches the Rfam family "Bacterial small subunit ribosomal RNA", at positions 508 to 809 of the family's 1533-position model. The record is from RNAcentral.
ACAGCAGCCGCCGCGGGAAUACGAAGGGUGCAAGCGUUACUCGGAAUUACUGGGCGUAAAGCGUGCGUAGGUGGUUCGUUAAGUCUGAUGUGAAAGCCCUGGGCUCAACCUGGGAAUUGCAUUGGAUACUGGCGAGCUAGAGUGCGGUAGAGGGUAGUGGAAUCCCCGGUGUAGCAGUGAAAUGCGUAGAGAUCGGGAGGAACAUCUGUGGCGAAGGCAGCCCCCUGGGCCAAUACUGACGCCCAUGCACGAAAGCGUGGGGAGCAAACUGGAUUAGAUACCCCGGUAGUCCCUGUCUCUUAUAA